AGGAGAAAAUGGGUAU
This 16-nucleotide small RNA is filed under the name Arabidopsis thaliana (thale cress). Its description in RNAcentral is "ATSL065320". Lineage: Eukaryota; Viridiplantae; Streptophyta; Magnoliopsida; Brassicales; Brassicaceae. The record is from RNAcentral.